RNAcentral lists this ribosomal RNA (490 nucleotides) under uncultured soil bacterium. RNAcentral's name for it is "bacterial SSU rRNA". It matches the Rfam family "Bacterial small subunit ribosomal RNA", at positions 26 to 506 of the family's 1533-position model. The record is from RNAcentral.
AGGACGAACGCUGGCGGCGUGCUUAACACAUGCAAGUCGAGCGGUAAGGCCUUUCGGGGUACACGAGCAGCGAACGGGUGAGUAACACGUGGUGAUCUGCCCUGCACUUCGGGAUAAGCCUGGGAAACUGGGUCUAAUACCGGAUAUGACCUCCUAUCGCAUGGUGGGUGGUGGAAAGAUUUAUCGGUGCAGGAUGGGCCCGCGGCCUAUCAGCUUGGUUGGUGGGUAAUGGCCUACCAAGGCGACGACGGGUAGCCGACCUGAGAGGUGACCGGCCACACUGGGACUGAGACACGGCCCAGACUCCGUACGGGAGGCAGCAGUGGGGAAUAUUGCACUAAGUGGGACGUAAAGGCCUAGAAGUCGACAGCCGACGGCCGACGUGAGGGAUGGACGGCCGUUACGGGUUCGUAAACCGUUCUUUACGAGUACGAGGACGUAAGCGACGAAGUGACGUACUAGCGAGAAGAAGCGACCGGACGUAACACGU